Molecule: ribosomal RNA, 1361 nt
Filed under: uncultured bacterium
Lineage: Bacteria
Description: 16S ribosomal RNA
Rfam family: Bacterial small subunit ribosomal RNA
Source: RNAcentral
UUAGAGUUUGAUCCUGGCUCAAGACGAACGCUGGCGGCACGCUUAACACAUGCAAGUCGAACGAGAGAAGAGGAGCUUGCUUUUCUGAUCUAGUGGCGGACGGGUGAGUAACACGUGAGCAAUCUGCCUUUCAGAGGGGGAUACCGAUUGGAAACGAUCGUUAAUACCGCAUAAUAUAAUUGAACCGCAUGAUUUGAUUAUCAAAGAUUUAUCGCUGAAAGAUGAGCUCGCGUCUGAUUAGCUAGUUGGUAAGGUAACGGCUUACCAAGGCGACGAUCAGUAGCCGGACCGAGAGGUUGAUCGGCCACAUUGGGACUGAGACACGGCCCAGACUCCUACGGGAGGCAGCAGUGGGGAAUAUUGCACAAUGGAGGAAACUCUGAUGCAGCGAUGCCGCGUGAGGGAAGAAGGUUUUAGGAUUGUAAACCUCUGUCUUCAGGGACGAAAAAAGACGGUACCUGAGGAGGAAGCUCCGGCUAACUACGUGCCAGCAGCCGCGGUAAUACGUAGGGAGCGAGCGUUGUCCGGAAUUACUGGGUGUAAAGGGAGCGUAGGCGGGAUCGCAAGUCAGAUGUGAAAACUAUGGGCUUAACCCAUAAACUGCAUUUGAAACUGUGGUUCUUGAGUGAAGUAGAGGUAAGCGGAAUUCCUAGUGUAGCGGUGAAAUGCGUAGAUAUUAGGAGGAACAUCAGUGGCGAAGGCGGCUUACUGGGCUUUAACUGACGCUGAGGCUCGAAAGCGUGGGGAGCAAACAGGAUUAGAUACCCUGGUAGUCCACGCCGUAAACGAUGAUUACUAGGUGUGGGGGGACUGACCCCUUCCGUGCCGCAGCAAACGCAAUAAGUAAUCCACCUGGGGAGUACGACCGCAAGGUUGAGACUCAAAGGAAUUGACGGGGGCCCGCACAAGCAGUGGAGUAUGUGGAUUAAUUCGAAGCAACGCGAAGAACCUUACCAGGUCUUGACAUCGUAUGCAUAGCUCAGAGAUGAGUGAAAUCUCUUCGGAGACAUAUAGACAGGUGGUGCAUGGUUGUCGUCAGCUCGUGUCGUGAGAUGUUGGGUUAAGUCCCGCAACGAGCGCAACCCUUACUGUUAGUUGCUACGCAGGAGCACUCUAGCAGGACUGCCGUUGACAAAACGGAGGAAGGUGGGGAUGACGUCAAAUCAUCAUGCCCCUUAUGACCUGGGCCUCACACGUACUACAAUGGCUGUCAACAGAGGGAAGCAAAGCCGCGAGGUGGAGCGAACCCCUAAAAGCAGUCUUAGUUCGGAUUGUAGGCUGCAACCCGCCUACAUGAAGUCGGAAUUGCUAGUAAUCGCAGAUCAGCAUGCUACGGUGAAUACGUUCCCGGGCCUUGCACA